UGAGGAAUAUUGGUCAAUGGGCGCAAGCCUGAACCAGCCAUCCCGCGUGCAGGAAGACGGCCCUAUGGGUUGUAAACUGCCUUUCCAGGGAGAGAAACUUGCGUACGCGUUGCGCAAUUUACGGUACCCUGGGAAUAAGCAUCGGCUAACUCCGUGCCAGCAGCCGCGGUAAUACGGAGGAUGCGAGCGUUAUCCGGAUUUAUUGGGUUUAAAGGGUGCGUAGGCGGAUUAAUAAGUCAGUGGUGAAAUACUGCAGCUUAACUGUAGAAUUGCCGUUGAUACUGUUAGGCUUGAGUAUGGUCAAGGUAGGCGGAAUGUGUAAUGUAGCGGUGAAAUGCUUAGAUAUUACACAGAACACCGAUUGCGAAGGCAGCUUACUGGGACAUUACUGACGCUGAUGCACGAAAGCGUGGGGAUCGAACA
This 423-nucleotide ribosomal RNA is filed under the name uncultured prokaryote. RNAcentral's name for it is "bacterial SSU rRNA". It matches the Rfam family "Bacterial small subunit ribosomal RNA", at positions 355 to 774 of the family's 1533-position model. The record is from RNAcentral.